CCCAGACUCCUACGGGAGGCAGCAGUGGGGGAUAUUGCACAAUGGGGGAAACCCUGAUGCAGCGACGCCGCGUGAGUGAAGAAGUAUUUCGGUAUGUAAAGCUCUAUCAGCAGGGAAGAAAAAAGACGGUACCUGACUAAGAAGCCCCGGCUAACUACGUGCCAGCAGCCGCGGUAAUACGUAGGGGGCAAGCGUUAUCCGGAUUUACUGGGUGUAAAGGGAGCGUAGACGGCAAUACAAGUCGGAAGUGAAAUACCCGGGCUCAACCUGGGAACUGCUUUGGAAACUGUAUGGCUGGAGUGCUGGAGAGGUAAGCGGAAUUCCUAGUGUAGCGGUGAAAUGCGCAGAUAUUAGGAGGAACACCAGUGGCGAAGGCGGCUUACUGGACAGUAACUGACGUUGAGGCUCGAAAGCGUGGGGAGCAAACAGGAUUAGAUACCCUAGUAC
This 447-nucleotide ribosomal RNA is filed under the name uncultured bacterium. RNAcentral's name for it is "partial 16S ribosomal RNA". It matches the Rfam family "Bacterial small subunit ribosomal RNA", at positions 330 to 793 of the family's 1533-position model. The record is from RNAcentral.